Molecule: ribosomal RNA, 560 nt
Filed under: Pristimantis marmoratus (marbled robber frog)
Lineage: Eukaryota; Metazoa; Chordata; Amphibia; Anura; Strabomantidae
Also listed under: 1 other name
Description: partial small subunit ribosomal RNA
Rfam family: Bacterial large subunit ribosomal RNA
Source: RNAcentral
CGCCUCUUGUAAUCAUAAGAGGUCCAGCCUGCCCAGUGAUUUUUAUUCAACGGCCGCGGUAUUCUAACCGUGCAAAGGUAGCGUAAUCACUUGUUUUUUAAAUAAAGACCAGUAUGAAAGGCACCACGAGGACUUAACUGUCUCCUUUCUCCAAUCAGUGAACCUAAUCCCCCCGUGAAAAAGCGGGGAUCCCCCUAUAAGACGAGAAGACCCUGUGGAGCUUAAGAUACCAUAACAAUUGCCACACCACCAGCCACCCCGAUGUCUCCCCCAACAGCACCCUGUUUAUGUAUCUUUGGUUGGGGUGACCGCGGAGAAAAACCCAUCCUCCGCAAUGAAAAGGACUUCCCACCUUAAACAACAAGUUACUACUUUACGUAUCAAAAUUGACAUUCAUUGACCCAAUAAUUGAUUAACGAACCAAGUUACCCCAGGGAUAACAGCACAAUCCACUUUGAGAGCCCCUAUCGACAAGUGGGCUUAUGACCUCGAUGUUGGAUCAGGAUAUCCUAGUGGUGCAACCACUACUAAAGGUUCGUUUGUUCAACGAUUAAAAUCCU